Molecule: ribosomal RNA, 484 nt
Filed under: uncultured bacterium
Lineage: Bacteria
Description: partial 16S ribosomal RNA
Rfam family: Bacterial small subunit ribosomal RNA
Source: RNAcentral
AUUGAACGCUGGCGGCAGGCCUAACACAUGCAAGUCGAGCGGAUGAAGGGAGCUUGCUCCUGGAUUCAGCGGCGGACGGGUGAGUAAUGCCUAGGAAUCUGCCUGGUAGUGGGGGAUAACGUCCGGAAACGGGCGCUAAUACCGCAUACGUCCUGAGGGAGAAAGUGGGGGAUCUUCGGACCUCACGCUAUCAGAUGAGCCUAGGUCGGAUUAGCUAGUUGGUGGGGUAAAGGCCUACCAAGGCGACGAUCCGUAACUGGUCUGAGAGGAUGAUCAGUCACACUGGAACUGAGACACGGUCCAGACUCCUACGGGAGGCAGCAGUGGGGAAUAUUGGACAAUGGGCGAAAGCCUGAUCCAGCCGUGCCGCGUGUGUGAAGAAGGUCUUCGGAUUGUAAAGCACUUUAAGUAGGGAGGAAGGGCAGUAAGUUAAUACCUUGCUGUUUUGACGUUACCAACAGAAUAAGCACCGGCUAACUUCGUG